Molecule: ribosomal RNA, 497 nt
Filed under: uncultured bacterium
Lineage: Bacteria
Description: partial 16S ribosomal RNA
Rfam family: Bacterial small subunit ribosomal RNA
Source: RNAcentral
GACGAACGCUGGCGGCGUGCCUAAUACAUGCAAGUAGAACGCUGAAGAGAGGAGCUUACUCUUCUUGGAUGAGUUGCGAACGGGUGAGUAACGCGUAGGUAACCUGCCUUGUAGCGGGGGAUAACUAUUGGAAACGAUAGCUAAUACCGCAUAACAAUGGAUGACACAUGUCAUUUAUUUGAAAGGGGCAAUUGCUCCACUACAAGAUGGACCUGCGUUGUAUUAGCUAGUAGGUGAGGUAAUGGCUCACCUAGGCGACGAUACAUAGCCGACCUGAGAGGGUGAUCGGCCACACUGGGACUGAGACACGGCCCAGACUCCUACGGGAGGCAGCAGUAGGGAAUCUGCGGCAAUGGGGGCAACCCUGACCGAGCAACGCCGCGUGAGUGAAGAAGGUUUUCGGAUCGUAAAGCUCUGUUGUAAGUCAAGAACGGGUGUGAGAGUGGAAAGUUCACACUGUGACGGUAGCUUACCAGAAAGGGACGGCUAACUACGUG